RNAcentral lists this ribosomal RNA (511 nucleotides) under Enterococcus faecium. RNAcentral's name for it is "bacterial SSU rRNA". It matches the Rfam family "Bacterial small subunit ribosomal RNA", at positions 1 to 493 of the family's 1533-position model. The record is from RNAcentral. Lineage: Bacteria; Bacillati; Bacillota; Bacilli; Lactobacillales; Enterococcaceae.
UUAGAGUUUGAUCAUGGCUCAGGACGAACGCUGGCGGCGUGCCUAAUACAUGCAAGUCGUACGCUUCUUUUUCCACCGGAGCUUGCUCCACCGGAAAAAGAAGAGUGGCGAACGGGUGAGUAACACGUGGGUAACCUGCCCAUCAGAAGGGGAUAACACUUGGAAACAGGUGCUAAUACCGUAUAACAAUCGAAACCGCAUGGUUUUGAUUUGAAAGGCGCUUUCGGGUGUCGCUGAUGGAUGGACCCGCGGUGCAUUAGCUAGUUGGUGAGGUAACGGCUCACCAAGGCCACGAUGCAUAGCCGACCUGAGAGGGUGAUCGGCCACAUUGGGACUGAGACACGGCCCAAACUCCUACGGGAGGCAGCAGUAGGGAAUCUUCGGCAAUGGACGAAAGUCUGACCGAGCAACGCCGCGUGAGUGAAGAAGGUUUUCGGAUCGUAAAACUCUGUUGUUAGAGAAGAACAAGGAUGAGAGUAACUGUUCAUCCCUGACCGGUUCAACAAAGCGA